AGAUUGAACGCCGGCGGCAGGCCUAACACAUGCAAGUCGAGCGGUAGAGAGGUGCUUGCACCUCUUGAGAGCGGCGGACGGGUGAGUAAAGCCUAGGAAUCUGCCUGGUAGUGGGGGAUAACGCUCGGAAACGGACGCUAAUACCGCAUACGUCCUACGGGAGAAAGCAGGGGACCUUCGGGCCUUGCGCUAUCAGAUGAGCCUAGGUCGGAUUAGCUAGUUGGUGAGGUAAUGGCUCACCAAGGCGACGAUCCGUAACUGGUCUGAGAGGAUGAUCAGUCACACUGGAACUGAGACACGGUCCAGACUCCUACGGGAGGCAGCAGUGGGGAAUAUUGGACAAUGGGCGAAAGCCUGAUCCAGCCAUGCCGCGUGUGUGAAGAAGGUCUUCGGAUUGUAAAGCACUUUAAGUUGGAGAAGGCAUUAACCUAAUACGUUAGUGUUUUGACGUUACCGACAGAAUAAGCACCGGCUAACUCUGUGCCAGCAG
This 490-nucleotide ribosomal RNA is filed under the name uncultured soil bacterium. Its description in RNAcentral is "bacterial SSU rRNA". It matches the Rfam family "Bacterial small subunit ribosomal RNA", at positions 26 to 514 of the family's 1533-position model. The record is from RNAcentral.